This 436-nucleotide ribosomal RNA is filed under the name Bacillus sp. MP17. RNAcentral describes it as "bacterial SSU rRNA". It matches the Rfam family "Bacterial small subunit ribosomal RNA", at positions 957 to 1392 of the family's 1533-position model. The record is from RNAcentral. Lineage: Bacteria; Bacillati; Bacillota; Bacilli; Caryophanales; Bacillaceae.
UACCGCGAAGAACCUUACCAGGUCUUGACAUCCUCUGACAACUCUAGAGAUAGAGCGUUCCCCUUCGGGGGACAGAGUGACAGGUGGUGCAUGGUUGUCGACAUCUCGUGGCGUGAGAUGUUGGGUUAAGUCCCGCAACGAGCGCAACCCUUGAUCUUAUUUGCCAGCAUUUUGUUGGGCACUCUAAGGUGACUGCCGGUGACAAACCGGAGGAAGGUGGGGGUGACGUCAAAUCAUCAUGCCCCUUAUGACCUGGGCUACACACGUGCUACAAUGGAUGGUACAAAGGGCUGCAAGACCGCGAGGUCAAGCCAAUCCCAUAAAACCAUUCUCAGUUCGGAUUGUAGGCUGCAACUCGCCUACAUGAAGCUGGAAUCGCUAGUAAUCGCGGAUCAGCUUGCCGCGGUGAAUACGUUCCCGGGCCUUGUACACACCG